UGAAACACGGACCAAGGAGUCUAACCCGUGCGCGAGUCAAAGGGCUGGCUAAACCCCAAGGCGAAACGAAAGUGACGGCGCUCGGACGGCUGGCCGGCGGCGCGGUUCUUUUUUGAGCCGCGUUUAGCCGCCGCCGACGACGCGUCCAUGGCCCGAUCCGUCCGCCCAGUAGGUUGUCCUGGCGGCAGUCCGAACAAGCGACGGCGCAGGGCCGGGGCUCGUCAUCUCCUUCGCGUUUCCGCGGCGGUUGGUUUUAUCGCGGGGGCGGCGAGGAAAAGGCGACGCUCGAGCGGCGAACGAGCGGCGGCGGCGCGGGGUUAGGUUUCUGCGACCCUCCACCUUCGUCGUCGUCGAAACCGGCGCCAAUCACGUCGUCGUACUACUCGUGGUCGUCGUGGUAAUGCAUGCCAGCGUCGUACAGGGGCGCGUUGGGCGGCGAGUACCUUGAGCGCACGUGUUAGUACCCGAAAGAUGGUGAUCUAUGCCUGGCGAGGAUGAAGCCAGGGGAAACCCUGGUGGAGGUCCGUAGCGAUUCUGACGUGCAAAUCGAUCGUCGGAGCUGGUA
Molecule: ribosomal RNA, 565 nt
Filed under: Ligia italica
Lineage: Eukaryota; Metazoa; Arthropoda; Malacostraca; Isopoda; Ligiidae
Description: partial large subunit ribosomal RNA
Rfam family: Eukaryotic large subunit ribosomal RNA
Source: RNAcentral